This 490-nucleotide ribosomal RNA is filed under the name uncultured bacterium. RNAcentral describes it as "partial 16S ribosomal RNA". It matches the Rfam family "Bacterial small subunit ribosomal RNA", at positions 29 to 507 of the family's 1533-position model. The record is from RNAcentral.
AUUGAACGCUGGCGGCAUGCCUUACACAUGCAAGUCGAACGGCAUCGCGGGAAAGCUUGCUUUCCUGGCGGCGAGUGGCGAACGGGUGAGUAACACAUCGGAACGUACCGGCUAGUGGGGGAUAACCCGUCGAAAGACGGGCUAAUACCGCAUACGCUCUUCGGAGGAAAGCAGGGGACCUUUUGGCCUUGCGCUAGUCUAGCCGCCGAUGUCCGCUUAGCUGGUUGGUGGGGUUAAGACCUACCAAGGCGACGAUCGGUAGCGGGUCUGAGAGGACGAUCGGCCACACUGGGACUGAGACACGGCCCAGACUCCUAAGGGAGGGAGCAGUGGGGAAUGUUGGACAAUGGGGGCAACCCUGAUCCAGCAAUGCCGCGUGGGUGAAGAAGGCCUUCGGGUUGUAAAGCCCUUUCGGCAGGGAAGAAAUCGGCGGGGCGAAUAACCCUGCUGGAUGACGGUACCUGCAGAAGAAGCACCGGCUAACUACGUG